UCAAUGGCCGCGAGACAAAUGCUGUUGUGACUGCUAGAGUGCAAAUUAAAAUUCGUUUAUCUCGCGCAAAAACAUUCGUAUAACAUUUUGUUUACCAAGAAGAUAUGUGACUAGGUUUUGGUGAUAGAAAUUAGAAGUGAGUAACCAUAAUGGACGUAGAUGAUUCGGCGGUUGACCUGAGCGUCAGGGCAUUGCCACCUGAGUUGAGCGAAUUGAGGGCUCUGACGGCCAGUGGGCUGACUAUUACGCCUGCACAACCACCACCACAUGUAAGUAAAAAUAUAAACCUAUAUAUAAAUUCCACAUAAAACCUCUUUUCAACAUUAUUUGGCUAUAAAAUGUACCUUUAUGUGAGUGGUCAAUAUGCUAUACUUCCUUUAACCAAGUCAUUGUAGUCUAACUUUGUUUAUAAAUACCACAUGCAUAAAUCAUUGCUGGAGGUCGUAACACAGAUAAUAUUAGUUCUAUCUACAUAAGGAAGAGGUUGCAAUUAAAUUAUUCAUUUGUACUUACUAACAAUCAUGAGAUACUGCAGUAUAGGGAAAUAUCAAUCAUUAAUUAAAUAUUGGUCUUAUUAAAUUGACAAAGGAAGAAAAUACCUUAUUUCUUAACAAUGAAAGUUUAUUUUCACACCUGAGAUGUUAAUUAAUUGUCUUAGAUUGAUUUCGUACACUAUUACUGUAAAUUAUUAAUAUCUAUUUUUCUUUUGCUAUCACAAAAAGAUUGACAGGGUAAGUACUCGAACAAUGCUUUUGCCAUGAAGUUUGUGUCAUCAGUAAAAAUUCCACUAUUUCAUCUGUAAAUACAACAAAACAUUUAAAUUGAUGUUAAUGAUAUAAAUUUUAAUUACUUAAAAUAAGUUAUAUAUAUUGUGACAAAAUUAAAAUACAUUAUAAACUCAUUUACAUAUUGGCAUUAUAGAGGGCCUUUGCUUUGCCAAACAAUGGAUUAGUGGAGGCUUAUAAAAAAAUAAAGAACUUUAUGGUUUGUUUUGUUUUUAAUUAUGACAAAAUACUAUGCAGUCCGGUUUUGUUGCUUAAAUAUGAGAAAUAAAUUGGAUUAUCUAAAUAUUUGUUUAUCUCAUCUAUGGUCAUACAUCAAUUAAGGCACAAUAAAUACAAGUGGACAAAUUUAAUUUUAUAUGCACAUCACAGAUGACAGAGAUCCACUAAUUAAAAAGUUAAUACUAUUAAAUGUUAAUUGAGUUAUGAGUCCCAUGUAGAAAGUGUGAAUUUAUUGACUGCUUGCCAUUAUUCUCAAGUUCCCUAAAUCCUAAUAAACCACUAAUUUGCACAACUAUAAAAUGAGUCUUUGACAACUUAUUUUAAAGUCUACCAAUGAUGCAGUCUUACAAUUACAAGUUUAGUGGAUUUAAAAUGAAAUGUUUUACAUGGAACAGGUAAAAGUUAAAUUAUGACAGCA
Spodoptera litura is the source of this 1422-nucleotide long non-coding RNA. RefSeq lists it as uncharacterized. Lineage: Eukaryota; Metazoa; Arthropoda; Insecta; Lepidoptera; Noctuidae. The record is from RefSeq and is a predicted model, not a curated record.